This 253-nucleotide ribosomal RNA is filed under the name uncultured bacterium. Its description in RNAcentral is "partial 16S ribosomal RNA". It matches the Rfam family "Bacterial small subunit ribosomal RNA", at positions 524 to 776 of the family's 1533-position model. The record is from RNAcentral.
UACGUAGGGUGCGAGCGUUAAUCGGAAUUACUGGGCGUACAGCGCGCGCAGGCGGUUGAACACGUGCCGGGUGACAGACGUCGGCUUAACCGACGUAGGCCAGGGUACACGGUUCGACUGGAGGCAGAGAGAGGGAUGUGGAAUACCCGGUGGAGCGGUGAAAUGCGCAGAUAUCAGGAGGAACACCGGUGGCGAAGGCGGGUCUCUGGGCCGAUACUGACGCUGAGGAGCGAAAGCGUGGGGAGCGAACAGG